RNAcentral lists this ribosomal RNA (261 nucleotides) under uncultured prokaryote. RNAcentral's name for it is "partial 16S ribosomal RNA". It matches the Rfam family "Bacterial small subunit ribosomal RNA", at positions 524 to 784 of the family's 1533-position model. The record is from RNAcentral.
UACGGAGGAUCCGAGCGUUAUCCGGAUUUAUUGGGUUUAAAGGGUGCGCAGGCGGGAGAUUAAGUCGGCGGUGAAAUUUUGCAGCUCAACUGUAAAAGUGCCAUUGAUACUGGUUUUCUUGAGUGUGGAUGAAGUAGGCGGAAUUUGUGGUGUAGCGGUGAAAUGCAUAGAUAUCACGAGGAACUCCGAUUGUGCAGGCAGCUUACUAAACCAUAACUGACGCUCAGGCACGAAGGCGUGGGGAUCAAACAGGAUUAGAUA